Panthera uncia (snow leopard) is the source of this 529-nucleotide long non-coding RNA. RefSeq lists it as uncharacterized. Lineage: Eukaryota; Metazoa; Chordata; Mammalia; Carnivora; Felidae. The record is from RefSeq and is a predicted model, not a curated record. The transcript is spliced from 3 exons.
AGGUUUCCUUUCUCAGCUGCGAAGCAUUUAGAGGAACUGACCGUGGCUUAGGUUUCGGUUUGCUUAAGCAGUCCGCCGAGGCGUUAGAGCCACCCCCGUCAAGUGGCCUCCGUGUUUGAUUGCUUGAAUAAGUGUUUUCUUCGGUUGAUUUGUUUUGAUAUGUGUUACCAGAAUCAGCUGGAGCUAAGCUAGACAUCCUGGAGGAUGCUUUGGGCCAGCUUGCCAUCUUCGUUAGUACCAACAGUCCGAGAAGCCUAUUCUCUCCUUUCCUUUGCCCAUGUCUGCUGUGUGGGGAUAGGGAGACAAGGCCUAUGAUAUAGUGUCAUGGAACAGUGACGUGUCAAUGGCGGAAGACUAAUCCCAGUGACUGGUCAAACUCAUAAUGAAUAGGUGGCUUAUAUUCUAACUAGAGGCAGGUAAAUAUACUAUAUACCAUUUAUAAAUAACUUUUCUGUAUGAAGUAGAUGGGGUAUAGCCUUUUCCAUAUUAAAAUAUCACAUUUUAGACCAAUUUGUUUUAAGAAAUAUUA